Mastomys coucha (southern multimammate mouse) is the source of this 133-nucleotide small nucleolar RNA. RefSeq annotates it as small nucleolar RNA SNORA58. Lineage: Eukaryota; Metazoa; Chordata; Mammalia; Rodentia; Muridae. The record is from RefSeq and is a predicted model, not a curated record. The transcript has a single exon.
GAGUAUAUCUGUAGACCUUGUCUGACUCUACUCGUGGCAGGCCGGGGAGACAGUGUAUGCCAGAUUAAUUGGAGUUCAUAUGAGUUGUAAGCUUUUAAUCAGUAACUGGAUAAUUUGUAAUACUCCAGCAGUC